UGUUAAAAUUUUAUAAUAAUUGUAUGAAUAUAAGACAAAAAAAAAGUGGAAUAAUGAUAACUUUCCUAAUAAAAAUAAAGAAGAUAGUCAAUCUGAAAUUAAGCGAGGAGAAUUUUACGUCGACUUAAUUAUAUUAUAUUGGAGGACCUGUCUAUGGUACAGAUUCUGUAACAAACAUCUCCCGUCAUCCCACCAUUCGAUUUUCUAUUGUUCAGUUUCUCACUCCACAUCCAACCACAUCCAACGGCUGAUGCUGCAGUCUGUAGCUUACAGAUUCUGUAAGCUAGUCGAGUCCUAUAUUGGAAAGAGAAAGAGUCCCAACUUUUAGGUGUUAAAGUAACCGUGCAUUAUUAUAUUGAUUACGGAAUGGAGUCAACAUGGUACCUGAAAGACACCAAACAGGUGGCAAAGCCGCAAAGGGCCAGUGAAUUUAGUGGUGCACGCUCGUGCCAAGUGUUAAAUUGGCAGCGGAAACCAACUUGUCUUCUCCUUGCGCUUUCACGUGUAGCGAAAGCCAAGUUGUCUUCGGUCUUCCCCUUACCCUUUCACAUGCAACAGUUUGUUUUCUAUUGUGGGAUGCAGAAACUGAUGGCGAAAAAGGCAGGCCAUUUCAUUUUCGAAGCAACCACCAAAUUUGUACAGAAAAAAGUUUGAGCAACUAAUUUCAUGGUUUCUUCUUCUUGAUGGUGACUGCGACGAAAAGAGAUUAACUGUACGGUGAUUAAUUAUUUCUCUGAUUAAAGAAAGAAUCAAUGUUGAUUUGAUAAUCAAGGAGAGGUUGUCGAGCAACGACCGUCGUCCGAUUAAGCCAUACUACCCAAUUUUAGUCAAAAUACGAUAAUUAAAAUCUAAUUAAGAUCAAAGCCGAUCUAGUUACGUCAUACGUGACUAUGAUAAUGGUGUUAUUGUCUAUGCUUAAUAAAAUUAUUUUUGGUAAAAUUUAUUUUUAUUUUGGUUUUUUUUUUUUUUUUGUUGAGAACUUAAAAUGACAUGAUUUAUAAAAUUGAAGGACCACCUUUUAUUUAAGUGGCCUUCCCAUUGAUAGACACUAGAAAGAGAUUCAGUUGCAAUUGAUGUGAGGGCGUGUCUCCUUCACUUUAUUUGAAUAUUACGUUGGAUAGUGCAAAACAAAUAAUUCAAUGUGUGUGUUGGCACUUAAAAAGCCCAACCAAUGUGUAUGUGCCGAAAAAAAAAUGAUGUGUUUAAAUUAAAACUCAAUCAAAAAAUUUAAAAUAAAAUAAAAUAAUAAAUAAAUAUGUUCUUUAUACAUCUAUAGAAAUUCGAAUAGUUGACAUCAAAGAUAAGAUGAUGCAAUAGUAAUUUUACUUUGGAUUUUAUUAAUUUUUCUUUAGAAUACGAUUGUGUCUAGAGAAUAAUAUUAUACAUUCUAAAUUUUUUAUCUUAAAAUUAUCAUAAAUAAUACAAUAUUUAUAAAUUUAUUGGUUAGAUAAUAUAAUUAGUACACUUAAAUAUUAUAAAAAAAUUAUCAAUUAUUUAAUAAAUAAUAUAUUAUUUAAAAUAAAAAUUUGUGAUGUGUAUCGUUGCUUUUUGUGUAGAGUACGGUACCGCAUUAACUUAUCCUUAAGUAAAUUUCCCAACGAGAGCGUGUAUACACACGCGCUCUAUUACAUGACAACAUUGCGUCUUCUUUCUAAAACCCAAUUGCAGCCACAAACUUCGGUUCAUGCACGGGUGAACCAGACGCAAAACCUCAUAACACGGCGCGUGUAGCACACAGAAGGCGAAACACUUUGGAGUCCCAAGACUACCCUUGCGUGAAACAGCGACCCAAGGCUCAGAGAACCCGAAAAGCGAGUAUCAAAAUUAAUGAUCUAGCGCCAGGAGCGUGUGGGAGUGUUAUGCCCUCGUGGAACUCAUUGUCCUGAAAGCUUUAUCUUUCUAAAAUUCCACGUUGUCAUUCGUUACUCAAACGAGUUGCUAAACUCGUAGACCAAGAACGCUGGAAAGACCUGACGUCCGGGACAACUUGUCUGGCCAAAUGGUUGAAGCUCAUUGGUCUGUGACUCACAGGCAGGUAAUAAAACAAUAUCAAUUUCCAACAAAGCUGUCUCCAGAAAAUAGCCUGUGGGACACCUAAUAUUUUAUGAUUUCGCAAGGAAGGACAUAGUUUGUCCAUUUGUAAUAAAUAGGUACCUGACCAAGUGACCCCUAAUGACAUAAUAAAAGAGUAACACUACAAAUACAAAAAAGUUAGAAUAUAUAACAUUUAAUUUGUCAUUUAAUAAAUAAAUAAUUUCAUAUCAAUAUUAUCAAUGAUUGGAUAAUAAAAUUAAUA
Molecule: long non-coding RNA, 2296 nt
Filed under: Citrus x clementina
Lineage: Eukaryota; Viridiplantae; Streptophyta; Magnoliopsida; Sapindales; Rutaceae
Description: Citrus clementina (C. clementina) long non-coding RNA (CCLE_LNC004534)
Source: RNAcentral